CAUGCAGUCGAACGGAAGGUCUCUUCGGAGAUACUCGAGUGGCGAACGGGUGAGUAACACGUGGGUGAUCUGCCCUGCACUUCGGGAUAAGCCUGGGAAACUGGGUCUAAUACCGGAUAGGACCACGGGAUGCAUGUCUUGUGGUGGAAAGCGCUUUAGCGGUGUGGGAUGAGCCCGCGGCCUAUCAGCUUGUUGGUGGGGUGACGGCCUACCAAGGCGACGACGGGUAGCCGGCCUGAGAGGGUGUCCGGCCACACUGGGACUGAGAUACGGCCCAGACUCCUACGGGAGGCAGCAGUGGGGAAUAUUGCACAAUGGGCGCAAGCCUGAUGCAGCGACGCCGCGUGGGGGAUGACGGCCUUCGGGUUGUAAACCUCUUUCACCAUCGACGAAGGUCCGGGUUCUCUCGGAUUGACGGUAGGUGGAGAAGAAGCACCGGCCAACUACGUGCCAGCAGCCGCGGUAAUACGUAGGGUGCGAGCGUUGUCCGGAAUUACUGGGCGUAAAGAGCUCGUAGGUGGUUUGUCGCGUUGUUCGUGAAAUCUCACGGCUUAACUGUGAGCGUGCGGGCGAUACGGGCAGACUAGAGUACUGCAGGGGAGACUGGAAUUCCUGGUGUAGCGGUGGAAUGCGCAGAUAUCAGGAGGAACACCGGUGGCGAAGGCGGGUCUCUGGGCAGUAACUGACGCUGAGGAGCGAAAGCGUGGGGAGCGAACAGGAUUAGAUACCCUGGUAGUCCACGCCGUAAACGGUGGGUACUAGGUGUGGGUUUCCUUCCUUGGGAUCCGUGCCGUAGCUAACGCAUUAAGUACCCCGCCUGGGGAGUACGGCCGCAAGGCUAAAACUCAAAGGAAUUGACGGGGGGCCCGCACAAGCGGCGGAGCAUGUGGAUUAAUUCGAUGCAACGCGAAGAACCUUACCUGGGUUUGACAUGCACAGGACGCGUCUAGAGAUAGGCGUUCCCUUGUGGCCUGUGUGCAGGUGGUGCAUGGCUGUCGUCAGCUCGUGUCGUG
RNAcentral lists this ribosomal RNA (1013 nucleotides) under Mycobacterium tuberculosis. RNAcentral describes it as "bacterial SSU rRNA". It matches the Rfam family "Bacterial small subunit ribosomal RNA", at positions 54 to 1069 of the family's 1533-position model. The record is from RNAcentral. Lineage: Bacteria; Bacillati; Actinomycetota; Actinomycetes; Mycobacteriales; Mycobacteriaceae.